Molecule: transfer RNA, 73 nt
Filed under: Ailuropoda melanoleuca (giant panda)
Lineage: Eukaryota; Metazoa; Chordata; Mammalia; Carnivora; Ursidae
Rfam family: tRNA
About the family: Transfer RNA (tRNA) molecules are approximately 80 nucleotides in length. Their secondary structure includes four short double-helical elements and three loops (D, anti-codon, and T loops). Further hydrogen bonds mediate the characteristic L-shaped molecular structure. tRNAs have two regions of fundamental functional importance: the anti-codon, which is responsible for specific mRNA codon recognition, and the 3' end, to which the tRNAs corresponding amino acid is attached (by aminoacyl-tRNA synthetases). tRNAs cope with the degeneracy of the genetic code in two manners: having more than one tRNA (with a specific anti-codon) for a particular amino acid; and 'wobble' base-pairing, i.e. permitting non-standard base-pairing at the 3rd anti-codon position.
Source: Rfam by way of RNAcentral
GCCCAGCUGGCUCAGUUGGAAGAGCAAAUGACUCUUGAUCUCAGGGUUGUGAGUUUGAGCCCCAUGUUGGGUG